UAAGGAAUAUUGCGCAAUGGGCGAAAGCCUGACGCAGCGACGCCGCGUGGGGGAUGAAGGUCUUCGGAUUGUAAACCCCUUUCGGGAGGGAAGAUGGAAUGGGGUAACCCAUUCGGACGGUACCUCCAGAAGCAGCCACGGCUAACUUCGUGCCAGCAGCCGCGGUAAUACGAAGGUGGCAAGCGUUAUUCGGAUUUACUGGGCGUACAGGGAGCGUAGGCGGUUCGGUAAGCCCUCUGUGAAAUCUUCAGGCUUAACCUGGAAAAGUCGGAGGGGACUGCUGGGCUAGAGGACGGGAGAGGAGCGCGGAAUUCCCGGUGUAGCGGUGAAAUGCGUAGAGAUCGGGAGGAAGGCCGGUGACGAAGGCGGCGACCUGGACAGGUACUGACACUAAACUACGAAAGCGUGGGGAGCAAACAGGAUUAGAUACCCAAGUAGUCCCUGAGCGGGCUGGCAAGGCGCAU
RNAcentral lists this ribosomal RNA (464 nucleotides) under uncultured bacterium. RNAcentral describes it as "bacterial SSU rRNA". It matches the Rfam family "Bacterial small subunit ribosomal RNA", at positions 355 to 825 of the family's 1533-position model. The record is from RNAcentral.